Molecule: long non-coding RNA, 1905 nt
Organism: Canis lupus familiaris (dog)
Lineage: Eukaryota; Metazoa; Chordata; Mammalia; Carnivora; Canidae
Exons: 6
Source: RefSeq, a predicted model, not a curated record
AAUAAUUCUGCCCUCAUGGAACUUAUAUUCUGAUGGGGGAUGGGGAGAAUUGGAGAAGAACAUUGUCCUCAUGGAGUGAUGACCAUCACUUACAGAGCUAACCUGGAUCAGUACUCACAUGGGCCAGGACGGAUGUGAAGUUCAGUGACACAGUUCCAUAACACACGCUUGAAAGCUGUGUUCCUUUCCUUCUCAAGUGACCAUCUGAGAACAAAAAUUAUCCUUCUGAAGCUAAACGUAGUCCACAUUCGGCAUGCACAGUAAAUGCAGUACACAUUUGGCAUGCAUAAUGCUAUUGAGGCUUAAUGGGUCUGAACAAAAGAAAAAGAACUUUGGUGGGGAAAGAUGUCUUUCAGAAUCCUACUUUGAACCAGAAGAAUCUAUUCUCUUGAGACUGUUGAAGAGAAGAUUGCAUAAAGCUCCCUUUGGAUGGUUGGUCAUUAGAUGCAGUCUUUCAGGAGAUUCUGAAAGAUUAAUGGAUGAACCAGGGAGGAUGGACACUAUACCUCUAGCUGCUACUGCUGCUACCAUAAUGUGCAUGGCCACUAUCUGCAGACUCAUGAAUCCUCAUCUUUACUGAAUACUCUGUACAUGCCAGACAUGGUGCUCUGCACCUGUGAGGUGUCACCCCUGCUCUGCUGUAAAUGAGCACCCCGGGCUCAACGAGAGAUGGACUCACCCUCCUCAGUUCACACACACAUGACAAACACACCAGUUGGAUGUGCUCAACUGCAGAUUCCAUGUUCUCGAACACCCUGCUCUCCUUGCCUUGGGACUGGCCAGCUCUCGCUCAGACUGAGUGCUACCAGUGUUGGCCACUGUGCAAAAUCCCCAGGAGGCCAGAGGCAAGCGUUCUCUACAGUAUCGCUCAACUGGAGAAAACAUGCAGUUAUGAAGUUAGGCUCCAGCCAACCGGCUAAGUGAAAGGAAAAGAUGCUUGAAAGUGUUCCUGUGAGAAAUGGAAGAGGGCUCAUUAAUAAGAACAUGCGCCAUUUGUUGAGCAGAACAAACAAACAGAUUUUUGGCAAAGAGAUUUACUUCAGAGAAGAAAGGAAGUGCCUGCGGUGGUGGGAUGGGGGGCAGAAUGCUGACACACAGAUGUGAGAACAAGAUGCUGGCACCAGCUGUGCACUGAAGAGAGUUAUCGCAACUAUCAAUUUUCUAUUUUUGUUUUAGUGAUUUAUCAGUUAGAAUUAUCACACUGUGAAAGCCUUGUAAUAGAGACUGCAGUUUCGAAAAUGCAAGAACCAGUUUUAGCAAAUGUUCUUAAUACACACACAGGCUCACACUCAAUAUGUGUAGAGACCACCCAAAGGACGACAGUCGGCUCUGUUGUGUUUUGUGCAUCCGUGGGCCCCCAUUACAUGGGCUUCGACUUAUGCCUGUUCAUGAAGAACAGGUGUUUGAAAUAAAAUCAAGGGGAAAAUCGCUAUGAAUUCGGCCCCUCUAAAGACAUUGCAAGAAUUUCUAAAAUUACUCUUCUUAGACAAAUUGUUCCCACAAGCCCAGAUGAUUUUUUAUCUUGAGGGUGCCCGGGGGAUACUAAAUCUUCCUGCCCACAUAAACUCGUUUUCAGAUGGGCUGGAGAUUCCAUUUAUCAUACAUGCAGGGCUGGGAAUGCUCAUGCCACAUUAAAGGUUAAAGCUGAGAAAGUCGGGGAGACACUGCCCUGGCCUAGUGUGGCAAGGCUGUGUCCACAGACACUGGCCUAGUGUGGCAAGGCUGUGUCCACAAAUAUGGGAGCAAUUUCAAUAAGACACAGACACUGGGGGUGCUUUUCUUUUUAGCAAUGCACGAAGAUGAGUAAGCUUGUUGUUGGCUUAAAUAAAAAAGCCUACAAUUCAAGUGACAAGUUUAAACUCAUUUGUGUACACGGAGCAUUUCAAGAUGAAGAGAUUACAGGAU